GGCCCAGAUCGUUUACCGUGAAAAAAUUAGAGUGUUCAAAGCAGGCAGAUCCAAUUUUCUGCCACCGAAUACAUUAGCAUGGGAUAAUGGAAUAGGACCCUGUCCUCCUAUUUUCAGUUGGUUUUGGCAGCGCGAGGACUAGGGUAAUGAUUAAUAGGGAUAGUNGGGGGCAUUAAUAUUUAAUUGUCAGAGGUGAAAUUCUUGGAUUUAUGAAAGAUUAACUUNUGCGAAAGCAUCUGCCAAGGAUGUUUUCAUUAAUCAAGAACGAAAGUUAGGGGAUCGAAGACGAUCAGAUACCGUCGUAGUCUUAACCAUAAACGAUGCCGACCAGCGAUUAGGAGACGUUGAAUACAAAACACCACCAUCGGUGCGGUCGUCCUUGGCGUCUCGGUUUCGGCCGGGGUGCGGGGACGGCUUAGCCCGGUGGCACCGGUGAAUGACUCCCCUAGCAGCUUGUGAGA
Molecule: ribosomal RNA, 461 nt
Filed under: Acanthamoeba sp.
Lineage: Eukaryota; Discosea; Longamoebia; Acanthamoebidae
Description: SSU rRNA
Rfam family: Eukaryotic small subunit ribosomal RNA
Source: RNAcentral